This 609-nucleotide ribosomal RNA is filed under the name Hepatozoon canis. Its description in RNAcentral is "bacterial SSU rRNA". It matches the Rfam family "Eukaryotic small subunit ribosomal RNA", at positions 218 to 815 of the family's 1831-position model. Lineage: Eukaryota; Apicomplexa; Hepatozoidae. The record is from RNAcentral.
AAAGCCAAUGCAUGCUUUUACAGUAUGAAAAUUGGUGAUUUAUAAUAACUUAGCAAAUCGUAAAGUGAAAACAGACGAUAAAUCAUUCAAGUUUCUGACCUAUCAGCUUUCGACGGUAUGGUAUUGGCUUACCGUGGCAGUGACGGUUAACGGGGGAUUAGGGUUCGAUUCCGGAGAGGGAGCCUGAGAAACGGCUACCACAUCUAAGGAAGGCAGCAGGCGCGCAAAUUACCCAAUUCUAACAGUUUGAGAGAGGUAGUAACAAGAAAUAACAAUACAAGGCAGUUAAAAUGCUUUGUAAUUGGAAUGAUAGAAAUUUAAACCCUUUUUAAAGUAUCAAUUGGAGGGCAAGUCUGGUGCCAGCAGCCGCGGUAAUUCCAGCUCCAAUAGCGUAUAUUAAAAUUGUUGCAGUUAAAAAGCUCGUAGUUGAAGUUCUGCUAAAAGUAACCGGUCUGCUUUUAAUAAAAGUGGUAUCUUGGUAUGUAUUUAGCAAUGAUGUCCUUUGAAGUGUUUUUUACUUUAUUGUAAUAAAGCAUAUUCAGGACUUUUACUUUGAGAAAAUUAGAGUGUUUCUAGCAGGCCGACGCUUUGAAUACUGCAGCAUGGAAU